UACGUAGGGGGCAAGCGUUGUCCGGAUUUAUUGGGCGUAAAGAGCGUGUAGGCGGCCUGGAAAGGUCAGCUGUGAAAACUCGAGGCUCAACCUCGAGACGUCGGUUGAAACCAUCUGGCUAGAGUCCGGAAGAGGAGUGUGGAAUUCCCGGUGUGAGCGGUGAAAUGCGCAGAUAUCGGGAAGAACACCCGUGGCGAAGGCGGCACUCUGGGACGGUACUGGACGCUGAGACGCGAAAGCGUGGGGAGCGAACGAGGGA
RNAcentral lists this ribosomal RNA (259 nucleotides) under uncultured bacterium. RNAcentral describes it as "partial 16S ribosomal RNA". It matches the Rfam family "Bacterial small subunit ribosomal RNA", at positions 524 to 779 of the family's 1533-position model. The record is from RNAcentral.